Molecule: non-coding RNA, 31 nt
Filed under: Mus musculus (house mouse)
Lineage: Eukaryota; Metazoa; Chordata; Mammalia; Rodentia; Muridae
Source: RNAcentral
UAGUUGCCCUGACAUAACUUCUCCUGACCCA